UACGAGGGGGGGCGAGCGUUUGUUCGGAAUUACUGGGCGUAAAGAGCUCGUAGGUGGUUUGUCGCGUUGUUCGUGAAAACUCACAGCUUAACUGUGGGCGUGCGGGCGAUACGGGCAGACUUGAGUACUGCAGGGGAGACUGGAAUUCCUGGUGUAGCGGUGGAAUGCGCAGAUAUCAGGAGGAACACCGGUGGCGAAGGCGGGUCUCUGGGCAGUAACUGACGCUGAGGAGCGAAAGCGUGGGGAGCAAACAGG
This 255-nucleotide ribosomal RNA is filed under the name uncultured bacterium. Its description in RNAcentral is "partial 16S ribosomal RNA". It matches the Rfam family "Bacterial small subunit ribosomal RNA", at positions 524 to 776 of the family's 1533-position model. The record is from RNAcentral.